GUAGUGGUGGUUCAGUGGUAGAAUUCUCGCCUUCCAUGCAGGAGACCCAGGUUUGAUUCCUAGCCAACGCA
Molecule: transfer RNA, 71 nt
Filed under: Loxodonta africana (African savanna elephant)
Lineage: Eukaryota; Metazoa; Chordata; Mammalia; Proboscidea; Elephantidae
Rfam family: tRNA
About the family: Transfer RNA (tRNA) molecules are approximately 80 nucleotides in length. Their secondary structure includes four short double-helical elements and three loops (D, anti-codon, and T loops). Further hydrogen bonds mediate the characteristic L-shaped molecular structure. tRNAs have two regions of fundamental functional importance: the anti-codon, which is responsible for specific mRNA codon recognition, and the 3' end, to which the tRNAs corresponding amino acid is attached (by aminoacyl-tRNA synthetases). tRNAs cope with the degeneracy of the genetic code in two manners: having more than one tRNA (with a specific anti-codon) for a particular amino acid; and 'wobble' base-pairing, i.e. permitting non-standard base-pairing at the 3rd anti-codon position.
Source: Rfam by way of RNAcentral